This 72-nucleotide transfer RNA is filed under the name Pangasianodon gigas (Mekong giant catfish). Its description in RNAcentral is "tRNA-Glu". It matches the Rfam family "tRNA". From Rfam's summary of the family: Transfer RNA (tRNA) molecules are approximately 80 nucleotides in length. Their secondary structure includes four short double-helical elements and three loops (D, anti-codon, and T loops). Further hydrogen bonds mediate the characteristic L-shaped molecular structure. tRNAs have two regions of fundamental functional importance: the anti-codon, which is responsible for specific mRNA codon recognition, and the 3' end, to which the tRNAs corresponding amino acid is attached (by aminoacyl-tRNA synthetases). tRNAs cope with the degeneracy of the genetic code in two manners: having more than one tRNA (with a specific anti-codon) for a particular amino acid; and 'wobble' base-pairing, i.e. permitting non-standard base-pairing at the 3rd anti-codon position. The record is from RNAcentral. Lineage: Eukaryota; Metazoa; Chordata; Actinopteri; Siluriformes; Pangasiidae.
UCUCUGGAGGACUAGUGGUUAGGCCUUGGCGCUCUCACUGCCGUGGCCCGGGUUCGAUUCCCAGCCAGGGAA